Molecule: ribosomal RNA, 253 nt
Filed under: uncultured bacterium
Lineage: Bacteria
Description: partial 16S ribosomal RNA
Rfam family: Bacterial small subunit ribosomal RNA
Source: RNAcentral
UACGGGGGGGGCAAGCGUUGUUCGGAAUUACUGGGCGUAAAGGGCUCGUAGGCGGCCAACUAAGUCGGAUGUGAAAUCCCCAGGCUUAACCUGGGAACUGCAUCCGAUACUGGAUGGCUUGAAUCCGGGAGAGGGAUGCAGAAUUCCAGGUGUAGCGGUGAAAUGCGUAGAUAUCUGGAGGAAUACCGGUGGCGAAGGCGGCAUCCUGGACCGGCAUUGACGCUGAUGAGCGAAAGCUAGGGUAGCAAACGGG